RNAcentral lists this ribosomal RNA (649 nucleotides) under uncultured bacterium. Its description in RNAcentral is "bacterial SSU rRNA". It matches the Rfam family "Bacterial small subunit ribosomal RNA", at positions 8 to 642 of the family's 1533-position model. The record is from RNAcentral.
AGAGUUUGAUCCUGGCUCAGAAUGAACGUUGGCGGCGUGGAUUAGGCAUGCAAGUCGUGCGAGAAGGGUUCUUUUGCUUGCAUUAGGACCUGGAAAGCGGCGAAAGGGAGAGUAACGCGUGGAUUAUCUACCCCUGGGUCCGGGAUAGCUGUGGGAAACUACAGGUAAUACCGGAUAACGUCCAGUGACGUGAUGUUGUUGGACCAAAGGUGUGAUUCCGUCUGGGGAUGAGUCCGCGUCCUACUAGCUAGUUGGUGGGGUAACGGCCUACCAAGGCAAUGAUGGGUACCGGGUGUGAGAGCAUGGCCCGGCUCACUGGGACUGAGACACUGCCCAGACACCUACGGGUGGCUGCAGUCGAGAAUCUUCCGCAAUGGGCGCAAGCCUGACGGAGCGACGCCGCGUGCGGGAUGAAGGCCUUCGGGUUGUAAACCGCUGUCAGUUGGGAGGAAAUGCUAUAGGGUACUCUCUAUAGUUUGACCGAUCUUCAGAGGAAGUCCGGGCUAAGUUCGUGCCAGCAGCCGCGGUAAGACGAACCGGACGAACGUUAUUCGGAAUCACUGGGCUUAAAGAGUGCGUAGGCGGCUUUGUAGGUGAGGUGUGAAAUCCCACGGCUCAACCGUGGAACUGCGCUUCAAACCACAAGGCU